This 931-nucleotide ribosomal RNA is filed under the name Staphylococcus aureus. RNAcentral describes it as "bacterial SSU rRNA". It matches the Rfam family "Bacterial small subunit ribosomal RNA", at positions 89 to 1006 of the family's 1533-position model. The record is from RNAcentral. Lineage: Bacteria; Bacillati; Bacillota; Bacilli; Caryophanales; Staphylococcaceae.
AUGUUAGCGGCGGACGGGUGAGUAAAACGUGGAUAACCUACCUAUAAGACUGGGAUAACUUCGGGAAACCGGAGCUAAUACCGGAUAAUAUUUUGAACCGCAUGGUUCAAAAGUGAAAGACGGUUUUGCUGUCACUUAUAGAUGGAUCCGCGCUGCAUUAGCUAGUUGGUAAGGUAACGGCUUACCAAGGCAACGAUGCAUAGCCGACCUGAGAGGGUGAUCGGCCACACUGGAACUGAGACACGGUCCAGACUCCUACGGGAGGCAGCAGUAGGGAAUCUUCCGCAAUGGGCGAAAGCCUGACGGAGCAACGCCGCGUGAGUGAUGAAGGUCUUCGGAUCGUAAAACUCUGUUAUUAGGGAAGAACAUAUGUGUAAGUAACUGUGCACAUCUUGACGGUACCUAAUCAGAAAGCCACGGCUAACUACGUGCCAGCAGCCGCGGUAAUACGUAGGUGGCAAGCGUUAUCCGGAAUUAUUGGGCGUAAAGCGCGCGUAGGCGGUUUUUUAAGUCUGAUGUGAAAGCCCACGGCUCAACCGUGGAGGGUCAUUGGAAACUGGAAAACUUGAGUGCAGAAGAGGAAAGUGGAAUUCCAUGUGUAGCGGUGAAAUGCGCAGAGAUAUGGAGGAACACCAGUGGCGAAGGCGACUUUCUGGUCUGUAACUGACGCUGAUGUGCGAAAGCGUGGGGAUCAAACAGGAUUAGAUACCCUGGUAGUCCACGCCGUAAACGAUGAGUGCUAAGUGUUAGGGGGUUUCCGCCCCUUAGUGCUGCAGCUAACGCAUUAAGCACUCCGCCUGGGGAGUACGACCGCAAGGUUGAAACUCAAAGGAAUUGACGGGGACCCGCACAAGCGGUGGAGCAUGUGGUUUAAUUCGAAGCAACGCGAAGAACCUUACCAAAUCUUGACAUCCUUUGACAACUCUAGAGA